This 440-nucleotide ribosomal RNA is filed under the name uncultured bacterium. RNAcentral's name for it is "partial 16S ribosomal RNA". It matches the Rfam family "Bacterial small subunit ribosomal RNA", at positions 338 to 795 of the family's 1533-position model. The record is from RNAcentral.
CCUACAGGAGGCAGCAGUGGGGAAUAUUGCACAAUGGGGGAAACCCUGAUGCAGCGACGCCGCGUGAGUGAAGAAGGAAUUCGGUAUGUAAAGCCCUAUCAGCAGGGAAGAAAAUGACGGUACCUGAGUAAGAAGCCCCGGCUAACUACGUGCCAGCAGCCGCGGUAAUACGUAGGGGGCAAGCGUGAUCCGGAUUUACUGGGUGAAAAGGGAGCGUAGACGGCAGUGCAAGUCAGGAGGUAAAGGCGGGGGCUCAACCCUCGGACUGCACUGGAAACUGUACGGCUGGAGUGCAGGAGAGGUAAGUGGAAUUCCUUGUGUAGCGGUGAAAUGCGUAGAUAUUAGGAGGAACACCAGUGGCGAAGGCGGCUUACUGGACUGUAACUGACGUUGAGGCUCGAAAGCGUGGGGAGCAAACAGGAUUAGAUACCCCUGUAGUC